CCUGAUCCAGCCAUGCCGCGUGAGUGAUGAAGGCCUUAGGGUCGUAAAGCUCUUUCGCCAGGGAUGAUAAUGUCAGUACCUGGUAAAGAAACCCCGCAGCCGCGGUAUUACUCCGUGCCAGCAGCCGCGGUAAUA
RNAcentral lists this ribosomal RNA (135 nucleotides) under bacterium enrichment culture clone 5/05bandD. RNAcentral describes it as "partial 16S ribosomal RNA". It matches the Rfam family "Bacterial small subunit ribosomal RNA", at positions 382 to 525 of the family's 1533-position model. The record is from RNAcentral.